Molecule: ribosomal RNA, 477 nt
Filed under: uncultured bacterium
Lineage: Bacteria
Description: partial 16S ribosomal RNA
Rfam family: Bacterial small subunit ribosomal RNA
Source: RNAcentral
ACGCACGCUGGCGGCGUGCUUCACACCUGCCAGUCGCACGGGAUUUAGUAAACGGAAGCCUCGGUGGAAGAUUACUAAUGAGAGUGGCGAACGGGUGAGUAACGCGUGAGCAACCUGCCUAUGACAGUGGGAUAGCCUCGGGAAACCGGGAUUAAUACCGCAUAAAAUCGUAGAAACACAUGUUUCAACGGUCAAAGAUUUAUCGGUCAUAGAUGGGCUCGCGUCUGAUUAGCUAGUUGGUGAGAUAACAGCCCACCAAGGCGACGAUCAGUAGCCGGUCUGAGAGGAUGAACGGCCACAUUGGAACUGAGACACGGUCCAAACUCCUACGGGAGGCAGCAGUGGGGAAUAUUGCACAAUGGGGGAAACCCUGAUGCAGCGACGCCGCGUGAACGAAGAAGGUAUUCGUAUCGUAAAGUUCUGUCCUAUGGGAAGAUAAUGACAGUACCAUAGAAGAAAGCUCCGGCUAAAUACGUG